CCAGAAGCAAAGGUUCUACUGAAACACUUCUUGACUUGACAGGAGUUUUCUCCAGGAAGACUCAUAUUCAAGAAGACUAUGGGAAUGCACACUUCAGAGACUAAGCUAGCAGUAGGUUGGGAGUCCCUGGAAAGAAGAUAAUUUUCAAAGGUCAGAGCCCAGGCAAAUAAGAGAGUCAAUUCAGGGUCAGCUCAGUAGAAGUCAAUACAAUAGAAACAUAAGAUAAACCUUUCACAGAACCCAGACACAGAUUCAGCUAACAGUGGUUCUCAGCCCUGGCUGUGUCAGGCCUCUGAGCCCAAGCCAAGCCAUCGCAUCUCCUGUGACUUGCACGUAUACGCCCAGAUGGCCUGAAGUAACCGAAGAAUCACAAAAGAAGUGAAUAUGGCCUGCCCCACCUUAACUGAUGACAUUCCACCACAAAAGAAGUGUAAAUGGCCGGUCCUUGCCUUAAGUGAUGACAUUACCUUGUGAAAGUCCUUUUCCUGGCUCAAAAAGCACCCGCACUGAGCACCUUGCGACCCCCACUCCUGCCCGCCAGAGAACAAACCCCCUUUGACUGUAAUUUUCCUUUACCUACCCAAAUCCUAUAAAACGGCCCCACCCUUAUCUCCCUUCGCUGACUCUCUUUUCGGACUCAGCCCGCCUGCACCCAGGUGAAAUAAACAGCCAUGUUGCUCACACAAAGCCUGUUUGGUGGUCUCUUCACACGGACGCGCAUGAAAUUUGGUGCCAUGACUCGGAUCGGGGGACCUCCCUUGGGAGAUCAAUCCCCUGUCCUCCUGUUCUUUGCUCCAUGAGAAGGAUCCACCUACGACCUCAGGUCCUCAGACCAACCAGCCCAAGAAACAUCUCACCAAUUUUAAAUCAGCGGCCAGGCGUUCCUCCAGAACCUCCUCCCACAGGAGCUUGCUACAUGUGCCAGAAAUCUGGCCACUGGGCCAAGGAAUGCCCACAGCCCGGGAUUCCUCCUAAGCCACGUCCCAUCUGUGUGGGACCCCACUGAAAAUCAGACUGUUCAACUCACCUGGCAGCCACUCCCAGAGCCCCUGGAACUCUGGCCCAAGGCUCUCUGACUGACUCCUUCCCAGAUCUUCUUGGCUUAGCGGCUGAAGACUGACACAGCCCGAUCGCCUCGGAAGCCCCAUAGACCAUCAUGGACGCCGAGCUUCCGGUAACUCUCACAGUGGAAGGUAAGGCCGUCCCCUUCUUAAUCAAUACGGAGGCUACCCACUCCACAUUACCUUCUUUUCAAGGGCCUGUUUCCCUUGCCUCCAUAACUGUUGUGGGUAUUGAUGGCCAGGCUUCUAAACCUCUUAGAACUCCCCACCUCUGGUGCCAACUUAGACAAUACUCUUUUAAGCACUCCUUUUUAGUUAUCCCCACCUGCCCAGUUCCCUUAUUAGGCUGAGACACUUUAACUAAAUUAUCUGCUUCCCUGACUAUUCCUGGACUACAGCUAUAUCUCAUUGCCGCCCUUCUUCCCAAUCCAAAGCCUCCUUUGCGUCCUCCUCUUGUAUCCCCCCACCUUAACCCACAAGUAUAAGAUACCUCUACUCCCUCCUUGGCAACCGAUCAUGCACCCCUUACCAUCUCAUUAAAACCUAAUCACCCUUACCCCACUCAACGCCAAUAUCCCAUCCCGCAGCACACUUUAAAAAGAUUAAAGCCUGUUAUCACUCGCCUGCUACAGCAUGGCCUUUUAAAGCCUAUAAACUCUGCUUACAAUUCCCC
RNAcentral lists this long non-coding RNA (1734 nucleotides) under Homo sapiens (human). Its description in RNAcentral is "HSALNT0333007". Lineage: Eukaryota; Metazoa; Chordata; Mammalia; Primates; Hominidae. The record is from RNAcentral.